GAAUUGCUAGUAAUGGCAGGUCAGCAUACUGCCGUGAAUACGUUCCCGGGCCCUUGUACACACCGCCCGUCACACCAUGAGAGUUGGGAAUACCCGAAGCCUGUGAGCUAACUUAUAGAGGCAGCAGUCGAAGGUAGAAUCAAUGAUUGGGGUGAAGUCGUAACAAGGUAAC
RNAcentral lists this ribosomal RNA (172 nucleotides) under uncultured bacterium. RNAcentral's name for it is "partial 16S ribosomal RNA". It matches the Rfam family "Bacterial small subunit ribosomal RNA", at positions 1329 to 1500 of the family's 1533-position model. The record is from RNAcentral.